CCUACGGGAGGCAGCAGUGGGGAAUCUUGCGCAAUGGGCGAAAGCCUGACGCAGCAACGCCGCGUGCGGGAAGAAGGCUUUCGGGCUGUAAACCGCUUUCAGCAGGAACGAAAAUGACGGUACCUGCAGAAGAAGGAGCGGCCAACUAUGUGCCAGCAGCCGCGGUGAUACAUAGGCUUCAAGCGUUGUCCGGAUUUAUUGGGCGUAAAGAGUUCGUAGGCGGUCAAGUAAGUCGGGUGUGAAAAUUCUGGGCUCAACCCAGAGACGCCACCCGAUACUGCUUAACUUGAGUUCGAUAGGGGAGUGGGGAGUUCCUAGUGUAGCGGUGAAAUGCGCAGAUAUUAGGAGGAACACCGGUGGCGAAGGCGCCACUCUGGAUCGAUACUGACGCUGAGGAACGAAAGCAUGGGUAGCAAACAGGAUUAGAUACCCUGGUAGUCCAUGCCGUAAACGGUGGGCACUAGGUGUGGGUUUCUAUUAACGAAAUCCGCGCCGUCGCUAACGCAUUAAGUGCCCCGCCUGGGGAGUACGGUCGCAAGACUAAAACUCAAAUGAAUUGACGG
RNAcentral lists this ribosomal RNA (563 nucleotides) under uncultured bacterium. RNAcentral's name for it is "bacterial SSU rRNA". It matches the Rfam family "Bacterial small subunit ribosomal RNA", at positions 338 to 916 of the family's 1533-position model. The record is from RNAcentral.